GAUGAACGCUUUCUUCUUUCCUAAUACAUGCAAGUCGAGCGAACAGAUGAGGAGCUUGCUCCUCUGACGUUAGCGGCGGACGGGUGAGUAACACGUGGAUAACCUACCUAUAAGACUGGGAUAACUUCGGGAAACCGGAGCUAAUACCGGAUAAUAUAUUGAACCGCAUGGUUCAAUAGUGAAAGACGGUUUUGCUGUCACUUAUAGAUGGAUCCGCGCCGCAUUAGCUAGUUGGUAAGGUAACGGCUUACCAAGGCAACGAUGCGUAGCCGACCUGAGAGGGUGAUCGGCCACACUGGAACUGAGACACGGUCCAGACUCCUACGGGAGGCAGCAGUAGGGAAUCUUCCGCAAUGGGCGAAAGCCUGACGGAGCAACGCCGCGUGAGUGAUGAAGGUCUUCGGAUCGUAAAACUCUGUUAUUAGGGAAGAACAAAUGUGUAAGUAACUAUGCACGUCUUGACGGUACCUAAUCAGAAAGCCACGGCUAACUACGUG
RNAcentral lists this ribosomal RNA (497 nucleotides) under uncultured bacterium. Its description in RNAcentral is "partial 16S ribosomal RNA". It matches the Rfam family "Bacterial small subunit ribosomal RNA", at positions 28 to 507 of the family's 1533-position model. The record is from RNAcentral.